UUUAUUUCUUUAUAUAUCUAAUCUAUAAACCUACCAAUUUUGACAAGUAAAAAGAGAGGCAGGGGAUCCUCUAACUAGUGGAAGUGUUCAACAGGGGCAAUCUGAGAUCACAUGUUUGGUACUUUUCUUUUUUCUCUGUAAUUGACAAGUGUGGUUCAAUAUCUCAAUAUGUGUUCUCAGGUCGCCCCUGUAGAGCUAUAUUUCACCGAGUAAGAUGGUUUAUCAUGUUUGGUAUAUAAUACAUAUAAAUGAACAAUGACUAUUAUAUACUCGAUCCUAACUUUUAGUGAUGGUGCCAACUUGCUUCAAAGGUUUGACCAAGGUGAGCUUUAAUACUCCACAUAUUAAAAUUUUGUUUUUCUUUUACAUAAUUAGCAAAGAGUAGAAAAAAAAUCUAACUGCAUAGAAGUGAUAAAGAGAUCAACUGAACAGCAGUAGUCAAGAAAUCACUUCUUCUCGUGACACUAUAGUUUGAAUUGUGAUUGUACGCUAGUAACCAACUAUGGCAUAUAGCUGCAAUAAAAAAAGGCAGUCCGAUGCACAACGCCUCUCGUAUUCAUGCAAAGUCCGAGUAAGGGCAGUACCCUAAAGGGUGUGAUGUAAAGAAAACGAAAUAAUGUAAUGAGGCUCAUUUAUGCAGAAUGUUAGUAACAGAUUUCAGAAAUUAUACAAUUAUUAGUUCUAUAUAAUUUAAGAUUUUUUCAUGAUUUCACUAGCUCAAUAAAGUAAGGAGGUGUGUUUUCAUAUAUACUAUUACUUUGGAAACAUGAGAUAACUCUAUAGGAGGGGAAUCAAAUAGCCAUUUCAAGACUAUUACAAAAGGAAGCUGUACUUAGGACAUUGGAGAUCAAGGUCCAAUGCAACAAAAUGCCAACAUCUUCUUUUUCCUCUGCACCCAACAAAAGAAAAAUAGGUAAGAUAGCACGGGAGUUUAGAGGCGGAUCCAGGAUUUUAUAUUAAUAGUUGCACAUGAAUACGAAAUUCGUUUGUGUAUGUAUAUAUGAAUUUUUUUCAAAUAUAUGUAUAUAUGUUAGAGUUUGAGUAUGUCUACACCAGAUGUCAGAAAGCUACAUUUUCCCCCUAUUGAUACAUACUUUGGCAAGUAGGCAUUUGGUGUAUCAGAAAAAUACAUAUUAUGCACUUCGGUAAGUUUCUUAUUAAGAGUCUUAUAAUGCUUGAUUGGUAAACAGAGACGGAUUCAGGAUUUUACAUCAUUGGAAUCAUAUUCUUUUGUGAUCAUGAGCACAAACUUUGGGUGGGUAUGCAUGCCUAGUAGAUAGGCAUCCGUGUCCCCUUUUCAUGCCGGUAGCAUUAAUAAUAGCAUCGUUUGGUAGUUUCCUAUCCGCAGAUUUCUUUUGCUAUAUAUUAUUUCUUUCGCUUUGAUUAUUCUAUCACCUUAUCUCUUUAUCUUGUUGUUUCUGCCUUUUUUAAUUUUUUCUUGAGUCGAGAUUUAUCGGAAACGGUCUUUUUACCUUCACAAAGGUCGGGGUAAGGUCUGCGUACAUUUUACCCUCCCCAGACCCUACUUUGUGGGAUUAUACUGUUGUUGUAUAUGUAUAUAUUUUAGAGUUGAAGGUAGCAAUUGCGCCUGCACCAGAUGCCACAGAGCUACAUUUUCCCUAUUGAUAGUAUAUCUCAACAAGCCAUAUUAUUCACUUAGACAUUUAAUUUAUAUCCACUAAUAGUAUAAGAAUUUAUACACGACCAUUGUAGUUUAACAAAGAAAAGUAGGUUAGUUACCAUUUUUAUCAAGUUACUGAUUAAAGUUUAUCAUAGAGAUUUAUCUAUAAUUACCUUAUAGUAGGUGAUUUGAUUGUGUAAAUAUUUUGUGCACCAUCAUCAUUGGAUAGAACUUGAACUCUUACACACUUUGGUUGUGUACUUAUGUUACUAAAAGGUAUGUUUCUAAAAGUCUUAUACUGCAUAAAGUGAAGAUCAUUUUACCAAUGUAAAAAUGUGCUUCUGAGUUUAGUAAAUAAGUCUUACCAUGCAAGAAUCUUCAUGUUGCUUCCUAAGAGCUUCCUGCUCAUGAUCGAUGCUAGGUGGUCGCGCUAAAAGAUCAUUGUUUUUGUGUUGCUUUCUGUUGACGCGAGCUUUAGAAAAUUCGACAGUAUAACUGGCAGCACCUCCAGUUUGUUGAUCCCACAUUCCAAAUUGAGGUACAGACCUGUAUCCAUUUUUCUGCAGUUUCAACAGAUUUGGAAAACCAUUUAGUUAGAAACUCAGAGAUAGAGAUCAAUACAUCUUUUGUAAAAUUCAUUAUGUGACAUGAAUGAUGAUUAUGGAAAUCUUUACUAAUACAAUAUAUAUUGCAUGAUUAAACCAUAAAAAGAUGAUAAACCACCAGCAUUUGUUUGAGAAACUGCUGAGGAGGAAAUAAGUUCAGAUAGGGAAUUUGACUUCUAGUUACAUUAAUUGUCAUUUGUCAAUUUUGGAUGUUGUGAGGUUCUCAUUGUGCAGGGCCAUAUGUGGUCACAAUCAGGGGUGGAUUUUGGGGGCGGAAGGGGGUUCUCCGAAAAAUUACACUAUAUAUAUACGGCAAAGUCCGAUUUGUACCUCUAUAUUUAAUAUUUUAAAUCCCUUUGACAUAGCCCAAAAGCAUAGCUCAGGAGUCAAGGUGGUUCAAAACCUUUGUAAAGUCAUUAGUUCAAUUCCCACUUGCCACGAUCUCUUUUAAUAUUUUAACUUUUUCUUUCUUUUGAUCUCCUUAGCGGAAAUUCUGCUUCCACCACUAGUCAGAACAAAACCAGGUAAUGAAUUAGCAGCUGCAAAGUGAAGGAUUCUAACAAAGGCACUCAAAAGAAUGUUUGCUUCAUCUGAUAUUUGGGAAUAGUAGCAUAGUUGUUUAAUAGUCGUCCCUUCUUUUAAUAUAUUACAAUAUAGUUGUGCUUUGUCGUUCAGUCCCUUGCUUCUUCCCUCCUUCUCCUCAUCUCAAUGUAGGAAGCAUACACACUGCUCCCCUGCUAUCCGUGGAAUUAGUUGAGAUACGUGCAAACUGGCCCAGACACCACAGUUAUCAAAGAAAAAAGGUGUCCCAGAACGAGGUAAUUCAAUUCUUUGAUUUGUGGCGGAGAGUUUUAGAAGACUCGGUUAUUAAAGAUCUAACUGAAGUAAUUCUUGAGCCACCUUUAUCGCUAUGUUGCUACAAUCCUGUGCUAAGGAUAUUCAACAAUUUACAUAACUUUUCUUUUACCUAUACGCGCAAGAUAGUCAUUCGACAAAAGGGAUUCAAUUGAAACCUUUAAAACCAUGCAGCUGUACACUAAUACUAUAUCACUACAGGAAAAUGUGCAGCCAAGAAUCUCAUAAUGCACCAGAAUGAAAAUACUUUUAGUUACCAUAUGUCAAUGAAUAUGUCAUUCAAAUUAAGUAUUCUUACCAUAUUGCUAGGGUCCUCUUGUUUCUUGCCAGGAAAUUCCUGAUCAUUUGUCAACCCGUGGCGUGCGCCUAACCCAUUUUUAUGCUGCUGCUGCUGAUCAUUUGCCAAUCCGUGGCGUGCACCUAAACCAUUUUUAUGCUGCUGGUGUUGCUGAUGCUGCUGCUUGUUGGCGCGAGCUUGGGAAAAUUCCAUUGUAUAACCAGAAUUGGCCCCUGCUGCAGCCUUGUUAUCCCAUGCUCCAAAUUGAGGGACAUAAGUUGGACCAUUUUUCUACAGAAUAUAUGAAUAAACAUUUGGUCAGCAAAUAUAUAUGAAGUAGCUAGGUCUAUUAUCUUUGGUGAAAUACAUAGAUGAAAGCAGGGGCGGAUACACUAGCGGGGCUACGAGUUCGGUCAAACCCAGUAGCUUUGCUCAAAUAUUGUAUUUGUAUUAAAAAUUUGACUAAAUAUAUACAAAUAUUAAAUUUAGAAUCCAGUCAUUAAUACUCGUUUAAAAAUC
This 3877-nucleotide long non-coding RNA is filed under the name Nicotiana tabacum (common tobacco). Its description in RNAcentral is "long non-coding RNA (NTAB_LNC018574)". The stretch from base 82 to 200 matches the Rfam family "MIR398 microRNA precursor family". The record is from RNAcentral. Lineage: Eukaryota; Viridiplantae; Streptophyta; Magnoliopsida; Solanales; Solanaceae.